This 356-nucleotide unclassified non-coding RNA is filed under the name soil metagenome. Its description in RNAcentral is "partial contains 5.8S ribosomal RNA, internal transcribed spacer 2, and large subunit ribosomal RNA". The stretch from base 1 to 120 matches the Rfam family "5.8S ribosomal RNA", at positions 35 to 154 of the family's 154-position model. The record is from RNAcentral.
GAUGAAGAACGCAGCGAAAUGCGAUAAGUAAUGCGAAUUGCAGAAUUCAGUGAAUCAUCGAAUCUUUGAACGCACAUUGCGCCCGCCAGUACUCUGGCGGGCAUGCCUGUCUGAGCGUCAUUUCAACCCUCGCGCCCGGCUUCUGUCGGGGGCGGUGUUGGGGAUCGACCUCCCGUCUUCCGGGCGGCCGGCCCCUAAAUGGAGUGGCGACCGCGCCGUAGCCUCCUCUGCGUAGUAGUGAAACACUCGCGGGCGGAGAGCGGUGCGGCCCGCCGUAAAACCCCCAACUCUUCUAAGGUUGACCUCAGAUCAGGUAGGAAUACCCGCUGAACUUAAGCAUAUCAAUAAGCGGAGGA